AAACUAAAGAGUUUGAUCCUGGCUCAGAUUGAACGCUGGCGGCAUGCCUUACACAUGCAAGUCGAACGGUAGAGUAGCAAUACUCGAGAGUGGCGAACGGGUGAGUAAUAUAUCGGAACGUGCCCAGU
Molecule: ribosomal RNA, 128 nt
Filed under: Polaromonas sp.
Lineage: Bacteria; Pseudomonadati; Pseudomonadota; Betaproteobacteria; Burkholderiales; Comamonadaceae
Description: partial 16S ribosomal RNA
Rfam family: Bacterial small subunit ribosomal RNA
Source: RNAcentral